GCAUCAGUUGUACUGCCAAGUGCAAAGCUGAGUAGCUAAGUUUGGAAGGGAUAAGAGCUGAAGGCAUCUAAGCACGAAGCCCCCCUCAAGAUGAGAUUUCCCAUCGUAAGAAUAAGGCACCAGAAAGACAAUCUGGUAGAUAGGCCAAGAGUGUAAGGUCAGCAAUGAUCUAAGCUAAGUGGUACUAAUAUGCCGAAGACUUGACCUAA
Molecule: ribosomal RNA, 209 nt
Filed under: Soehngenia saccharolytica
Lineage: Bacteria; Bacillati; Bacillota; Tissierellia; Tissierellales; Tissierellaceae
Description: partial 23S ribosomal RNA
Rfam family: Bacterial large subunit ribosomal RNA
Source: RNAcentral